This 53-nucleotide transfer RNA is filed under the name Equus sp. Its description in RNAcentral is "partial tRNA-Asp". Lineage: Eukaryota; Metazoa; Chordata; Mammalia; Perissodactyla; Equidae. The record is from RNAcentral.
GUAAAAAUUACAUAACUUUGUCAAAGUUAAAUUAUAGGUUAAACCCCUAUAUA